Molecule: long non-coding RNA, 729 nt
Organism: Strongylocentrotus purpuratus (purple sea urchin)
Lineage: Eukaryota; Metazoa; Echinodermata; Echinoidea; Camarodonta; Strongylocentrotidae
Exons: 3
Source: RefSeq, a predicted model, not a curated record
GAAUUUAUAGCAUUUUUUCUUCUACAAAGUGUCAACUGGCAAUCGUACUUGAACGGCAAAAAUCUUCGAAAUAUACAGAUUCAGCAGAAUCUAUUUCAACACACUUUUACCGAGGCUCGUGAACACAUAAAGAUGGGUUGGCGAGAUAAAAUUAAACGCUUGGGAUCCCGUUUCGUAGAGAGACUGAUCGAGGCGAUUUUCGAUUACAUCGUCGCCAAAGUACAGAAGAAGCCCGUUAAAUGGAAGGAUGAUGGUGAAAUGAACCGUUAUGCAUUAAAGACAAUUAUGGGGACCAUUGAUGAUCGUCUGUGUAGCUCGCCUGUCUAAAUUGUAAUGGUUGUGAUAAACAGUAUAUCGGAGAGACUGGAGAUAUUUUGAGGAAUAGAAUGACAAUCCAUUGUCAACACAUAAGAGAUUAAAAAAAUAUCAAAUCGUAAAUGUGAGUAAUAAUAUAUCAAGGUUUGCAAAAGGAAUGAAUCCAGAAUUUUGAUGCCAUACCUUUUUAUAAAAUGAGGACAGAAAAAGAAACUAAACGUAAGAUUAAAGAAAAAUAUUUUAUCAAUGAAUUCAGCCAGAACUGAACAAGCCUUAUAGUUCAAAGAAUGAUGCAGCUGUUUUAUGAAUUUACAUUAAUAAUGUCUUUUUAUGAUACGUGCUUUUAGCUGAUAUAUCAGGAAUGUCGUGGUCGAGUGGUUUAAGGCGCUUGACUGGAGAUGUGAAGGUCGAGGG